RNAcentral lists this ribosomal RNA (253 nucleotides) under uncultured bacterium. RNAcentral describes it as "partial 16S ribosomal RNA". It matches the Rfam family "Bacterial small subunit ribosomal RNA", at positions 524 to 776 of the family's 1533-position model. The record is from RNAcentral.
UACGAAGGGUGCUAGCGUUGCUCGGAAUUACUGGGCGUAAAGCGCACGUAGGCGGCUCUUUAAGUCGGGGGUGAAAUCCUGGAGCUCAACUCCAGAACUGCCUUCGAUACUGUAGAGCUUGAGUUCGGGAGAGGUGAGUGGAACUGCGAGUGUAGAGGUGAAAUUCGUAGAUAUUCGCAAGAACACCAGUGGCGAAGGCGGCUCACUGGCCCGAUACUGACGCUGAGGUGCGAAAGCGUGGGGAGCAAACAGG